RNAcentral lists this ribosomal RNA (411 nucleotides) under Lactobacillus johnsonii. Its description in RNAcentral is "bacterial SSU rRNA". It matches the Rfam family "Bacterial small subunit ribosomal RNA", at positions 60 to 438 of the family's 1533-position model. Lineage: Bacteria; Bacillati; Bacillota; Bacilli; Lactobacillales; Lactobacillaceae. The record is from RNAcentral.
AGUCGAGCGAGCUUGCCUAGAUGAUUUUAGUGCUUGCACUAAAUGAAACUAGAUACAAGCGAGCGGCGGACGGGUGAGUAACACGUGGGUAACCUGCCCAAGAGACUGGGAUAACACCUGGAAACAGAUGCUAAUACCGGAUAACAACACUAGACGCAUGUCUAGAGUUUGAAAGAUGGUUCUGCUAUCACUCUUGGAUGGACCUGCGGUGCAUUAGCUAGUUGGUAAGGUAAUGGCUUACCAAGGCGAUGAUGCAUAGCCGAGUUGAGAGACUGAUCGGCCACAUUGGGACUGAGACACGGCCCAAACUCCUACGGGAGGCAGCAGUAGGGAAUCUUCCACAAUGGACGAAAGUCUGAUGGAGCAACGCCGCGUGAGUGAAGAAGGGUUUCGGCUCGUAAAGCUCUGUUG